Molecule: unclassified non-coding RNA, 387 nt
Filed under: Hevea brasiliensis (rubber tree)
Lineage: Eukaryota; Viridiplantae; Streptophyta; Magnoliopsida; Malpighiales; Euphorbiaceae
Source: RNAcentral
GUUCAGACAAGUAACAUCCCUCAUAAAUUAUGUAGCCAACAUGGGUAAAAGAUCGUAUUAUUUAGACGACUCCUUAUUGCUUUCAAGCAAAGCCUUAGUGGAUCCACUUAGUUGAAAUGUUCUAUUUCUCUGCAAGGUAUAGGACAGUUCUGGCAGCAUGAACAAGACGUUAUACCGUCGCGUUCCUCAUAGUGAUGGUUAUCGAUUAGAGGAUCUCCCAGAUAGAAUUAAAAGUGUAUUUUUAUCAUAUCACUUAAUAUUUUGAGUUCACAGAUGAGUAGGUAUUUGUAAAGUUUAAAUAUUUUCACUCAUUUAUUUCUUUACUUACAGUUGAGUAAAUAUUUAUAUGUAUUGUAGUUCUUUCAUUCAGUUAUUUUGCUUUAGUUA